AACGCACAUUGCGCCCGCCAGUAUUCUGGCGGGCAUGCCUGUUCGAGCGUCAUUUCAACCAUCAAGCCCCCGGGCUUGUGUUGGGGACCUGCGGCUGCCCGCAGGCCCUGAAAACCAGUGGCGGGCUCGCUGUCACCCCGAGCGUAGUAGCAUACACCUCGCUCAGGGCGUGCCGCGGGCGCCGGCCGUGAAACACCCCAAUUUACCUAAGGUUGACCUCGGAUCAGGUAGGAAGACCCGCUGAACUUAA
This 250-nucleotide unclassified non-coding RNA is filed under the name uncultured Sordariales. RNAcentral's name for it is "sequence contains 5.8S rRNA gene, ITS2, 28S rRNA gene". The stretch from base 1 to 52 matches the Rfam family "5.8S ribosomal RNA", at positions 103 to 154 of the family's 154-position model. The record is from RNAcentral. Lineage: Eukaryota; Fungi; Ascomycota; Sordariomycetes; Sordariales.